RNAcentral lists this ribosomal RNA (253 nucleotides) under uncultured bacterium. Its description in RNAcentral is "partial 16S ribosomal RNA". It matches the Rfam family "Bacterial small subunit ribosomal RNA", at positions 524 to 776 of the family's 1533-position model. The record is from RNAcentral.
UACGUAGGUGGCAAGCGUUGUCCGGAUUUACUGGGCGUAAAGAGCGCGCAGGCGGUCGUUCAAGUCGCGUGUGAAAGCCCCCGGCUCAACUGGGGAGGGUCACGCGAUACUGAUCGACUCGAAGGCAGGAGAGGGUAGUGGAAUUCCCGGUGUAGUGGUGAAAUGCGUAGAGAUGUGGAGGAACACCGAUGGCGAAGGCAGCCCCCUGGGUCAAGACUGACGCUCAUGCACGAAAGCGUGGGGAGCAAACAGG